RNAcentral lists this ribosomal RNA (537 nucleotides) under Bacillus sp. NRL-CB13. RNAcentral's name for it is "bacterial SSU rRNA". It matches the Rfam family "Bacterial small subunit ribosomal RNA", at positions 1 to 522 of the family's 1533-position model. The record is from RNAcentral. Lineage: Bacteria; Bacillati; Bacillota; Bacilli; Caryophanales; Bacillaceae.
UGGAGAGUUUGAUCCUGGCUCAGGACGAACGCUGGCGGCGUGCCUAAUACAUGCAAGUCGAGCGGAUUGAUGGGAGCUUGCUCCCUGAUAUCAGCGGCGGACGGGUGAGUAACACGUGGGUAACCUGCCUGUAAGACUGGGAUAACUCCGGGAAACCGGGGCUAAUACCGGAUAACUCAUUUCCUCGCAUGAGGAAAUGUUGAAAGGUGGCUUUUAGCUACCACUUACAGAUGGACCCGCGGCGCAUUAGCUAGUUGGUGAGGUAACGGCUCACCAAGGCGACGAUGCGUAGCCGACCUGAGAGGGUGAUCGGCCACACUGGGACUGAGACACGGCCCAGACUCCUACGGGAGGCAGCAGUAGGGAAUCUUCCGCAAUGGACGAAAGUCUGACGGAGCAACGCCGCGUGAGUGAUGAAGGUUUUCGGAUCGUAAAGCUCUGUUGUUAGGGAAGAACAAGUGCCGUUCGAAUAGGGCGGCACCUUGACGGUACCUAACCAAGAAAGCCACGGCUAACUACGUGCCAGCAGCCGCGGUA